Molecule: small RNA, 912 nt
Filed under: Pongo abelii (Sumatran orangutan)
Lineage: Eukaryota; Metazoa; Chordata; Mammalia; Primates; Hominidae
Description: processed transcript
Source: RNAcentral
AGAGCUGACAAUUAAGCCGCGGGACCUCCGCGCCAGUGCCUCCAGCUGCCGCGCGCCAGCCUUGGCCGCCACAGCCCGCCUCCCGGCGCUCGCGGGACAGAGACCGCCUCAAAGAGCGGGCGCACCUGCCACCGCGCGCUGGAGCUGACCUCUCCCGGCGGCGGGCGGUUAGGGGAAAGUACCUGGGAGAAAGGUAGAGGAGGUAAGGGGACCCUUGGGGGGUGCCCCUACGGGCUACCAGGGUUGAACGCACAGGCAUGGUCACGUCGGGGUAUUGCCAAGCUUUUGGCGCAGCUGGUCGGGUGGCCAGGCUGCAUGCGGCUUAGCAGGAGACGUCCUGGGCUGUUUGCGCAGGACCUCUGGAGGCCCUCGAGAUGGUCGCAAGCGGAAAGGUGCUGGAGAAUCUGGUAAAAGCACCAUUGUGAAGCAGAUGAGGAUCCUGCAUGUUAAUGGGUUUAAUGGAGAGGGCGGCGAAGAGGACCCGCAGGCUGCAAGGAGCAACAGCGAUGGUGAGAAGGCAACCAAAGUGCAGGACAUCAAAAACAACCUGAAAGAGGCGAUUGAAACCAUUGUGGCCGCCAUGAGCAACCUGGUGCCCCCCGUGGAGCUGGCCAACCCCGAGAACCAGUUCAGAGUGGACUACAUUCUGAGUGUGAUGAACGUGCCUGACUUUGACUUCCCUCCCGAAUUCUAUGAGCACGCCAAGGCUCUGUGGGAGGAUGAAGGAGUGCGUGCCUGCUACGAACGCUCCAACGAGUACCAGCUGAUUGACUGUGCCCAGUACUUCCUGGACAAGAUCGAUGUGAUCAAGCAGGCUGACUAUGUGCCGAGCGAUCAGGACCUGCUUCGCUGCCGCGUCCUGACUUCUGGAAUCUUUGAGACCAAGUUCCAGGUGGACAAAGUCAACUUCCA